CUCUUAUCAAGAGUGGCGGAGGGACUGGCCCUAUGAAGCCCGGCAACCUGCGUCUUUUUAGCUAAAAAGGCGCAAAGGUGCCAAUUCCUGCAAAACGCUAAAGGCGUUUUGAGAGAUAAGAG
Molecule: non-coding RNA, 122 nt
Filed under: Fervidicola ferrireducens
Lineage: Bacteria; Bacillati; Bacillota; Clostridia; Thermosediminibacterales; Thermosediminibacteraceae
Description: SAM-I sequence
Rfam family: SAM riboswitch aptamer (S box leader)
About the family: The SAM riboswitch is found upstream of a number of genes which code for proteins involved in methionine or cysteine biosynthesis in Gram-positive bacteria. The SAM riboswitch acts at the level of transcription termination control.
Source: Rfam by way of RNAcentral